This 253-nucleotide ribosomal RNA is filed under the name uncultured bacterium. Its description in RNAcentral is "partial 16S ribosomal RNA". It matches the Rfam family "Bacterial small subunit ribosomal RNA", at positions 524 to 776 of the family's 1533-position model. The record is from RNAcentral.
GACAGAGGGGGCAAGCGUUGCUCGGAAUCACUGGGCGUAAAGGGCGCGUAGGCGGGAUGGCAAGUCGGAUGUGAAAUCCCUCGGCUUAACCGGGGAACUGCGUCCGAUACUGGAUGGCUUGAGUUCGGGAGAGGGAUGCGGAAUUCCAGGUGUAGCGGUGAAAUGCGUAGAUAUCUGGAGGAACACCGGUGGCGAAGGCGGCAUCCUGGACCGACACUGACGCUGAGGUGCGAAAGCGUGGGGAGCAAACAGG